GACGAACGCUGGCGGCGUGCCUAAUACAUGCAAGUCGAACGCGUCUACGUUAAUGAAAUCAAUGUGCUUGCACGGCGAUGGAUUUAACAUUAGACGAGUGGCGAACUGGUGAGUAACACGUGGGUAACCUGCCCUCAAGCAGGGGAUAACACUUGGAAACAGGUGCUAAUACCGUAUAACAACAAAAACCGCAUGGUUUUUGUUUGAAAGAUGGUUUCGGCUAUCACUUGAGGAUGGACCCGCGGCGUAUUAGCUAGUUGGUGAGGUAAUGGCUCACCAAGGCAAUGAUACGUAGCCGACCUGAGAGGGUAAUCGGCCACAUUGGGACUGAGACACGGCCCAAACUCCUACGGGAGGCAGCAGUAGGGAAUCUUGCGCAAUGGGCGGAAGCCUGACGCAGCAACGCCGCGUGCGGGAAGAAGGCCUUCGGGUUGUAAACCGCUUUCAGGAGGGACGAAGCUACCAGGGUUAAUAGCCCACGGGGUGACGGUACCCCCAGAAGAAGCCCCGGCUAACUACGUGCCAGCAGCCGCGGUAAAAC
Molecule: ribosomal RNA, 541 nt
Filed under: uncultured bacterium
Lineage: Bacteria
Description: bacterial SSU rRNA
Rfam family: Bacterial small subunit ribosomal RNA
Source: RNAcentral